CUACGGGUCGCUGCAGUGGGGAAUAUUGCACAAUGGGGGAAACCCUGAUGCGGCAACGCCGCGUGGAGGAUGACACAUUUCGGUGUGUAAACUCCUUUUAUAUGUCAAGAAAAUGACGGUAGCAUAUGAAUAAGCACCGGCUAACUCCGUGCCAGCAGCCGCGGUAAUACGGAGGGUGCAAGCGUUACUCGGAAUCACUGGGCGUAAAGGACGCGUAGGCGGGUUGGAAAGUCAGGUGUGAAAUCCUACAGCUUAACUGUAGAACUGCACUUGAAACUUCUAAUCUAGAGUAUGGGAGGGGGAGAUGGAAUUAGUGGUGUAGGGGUAAAAUCCGUAGAUAUCACUAGGAAUACCUAAAGCGAAGGCGAUCUCCUGGAACAUUACUGACGCUAAGGCGUGAAAGCGUGGGGAGCAAACAGGAUUAGAUACCCUAGUAGUC
This 439-nucleotide ribosomal RNA is filed under the name uncultured bacterium. RNAcentral describes it as "partial 16S ribosomal RNA". It matches the Rfam family "Bacterial small subunit ribosomal RNA", at positions 339 to 795 of the family's 1533-position model. The record is from RNAcentral.